Molecule: ribosomal RNA, 468 nt
Filed under: uncultured bacterium
Lineage: Bacteria
Description: partial 16S ribosomal RNA
Rfam family: Bacterial small subunit ribosomal RNA
Source: RNAcentral
GACGAACGCUGGCGGCGUGCUUAACACAUGCAAGUCGAACGGAAAGGCCCUGCUUUUGUGGGGUGCUCGAGUGGCGAACGGGUGAGUAACACGUGAGUAACCUGCCCUUGACUUUGUGAUAACUUCAGGAAACUGGGGCUAAUACCGGAUAGGAGCUCCUGCUGCAUGGUGGGGGUUGGAAAGUUUCGGCGGUUGGGGAUGGACUCGCGGCUUAUCAGCUUGUUUGUGGGGUAGUGGCUUACCAAGGCUUUGACGGGUAGCCGGCCUGGGAGGGUGACCGGCCACAUUGGGACUGAGAUACGGCCCAGACUCCUACGGGAGGCAGCAGUGGGGAAUAUUGCACAAUGGGCGGAAGCCUGAUGCAGCAACGCCGCGUGCGGGAUGACGGCCUUCGGGUUGUAAACCGCUUUCGCCUGUGACGAAGCGUGAGUGACGGUAAUGGGUAAAGAAGCACCGGCUAACUACGUG